RNAcentral lists this ribosomal RNA (353 nucleotides) under uncultured bacterium. Its description in RNAcentral is "partial 16S ribosomal RNA". It matches the Rfam family "Bacterial small subunit ribosomal RNA", at positions 338 to 708 of the family's 1533-position model. The record is from RNAcentral.
CCUACGGGAGGCAGCAGUAGGGAAUAUUGCGCAAUGGGCGAAACCCUGACGCAGCAACGCCGCGUGGGGGAUGAAGGUUUUCGGAUCGUAAACUCCUUUUGUUAGAGAAGAUAAUGACGGUAUCUAACGAAUAAGCACCGGCUAACUCCGGGCCAGCAGCCGCGGGAAGACGGAGGGUGCAAGCGUUACUCGGAAUCACUGGGCGUAAAGCGCGCGUAGGCGGGAUAGCAAGUCAGGUGUGAAAUCCGCUGGCUCAACCAUAGAACUGCAUUUGAAACUGUCAAUCUGGAGUGUGUGAGAGGUAAGUGGAAUUCCAGGUGUAGGGGUAAAAUCCGUAGAUAUCAGGAGGAAUA